UACGUAGGGUGCGAGCGUUAAUCGGAAUUACUGGGCGUAAAGGGUGCGCAGGCGGUCCUGCAAGUCAGGCGUGAAAUCCCCGGGCUUAACCUGGGAAUGGCACUUGAAACUACGGGACUGGAGUAUGGCAGAGGGAGGUGGAAUUCCACGUGUAGCGGUGAAAUGCGUAGAGAUGUGGAGGAACACCGGUGGCGAAGGCGGCAUCCUGGACCGAUAUUGACGCUGAUGCGCGAAAGCCAGGGGAGCAAACGGG
Molecule: ribosomal RNA, 253 nt
Filed under: uncultured bacterium
Lineage: Bacteria
Description: partial 16S ribosomal RNA
Rfam family: Bacterial small subunit ribosomal RNA
Source: RNAcentral